AAGUCGUAACAAGGUUUCCGUAGGUGAACCUGCGGAAGGAUCAUUAACGAAUAACUAUGGUGUUGGUUGUAGCUGGCUCCUCGGAGCAAUGUGCACGCCCGCCAUUUUUAUCUUUCCACCUGUGCACCGACUGUAGGUCUGGAUACCUCUCGCCUCCCUUCUUCUUAGGAAGAGGGUUAAAGCGGAUGCGGGGAUUGCUCGCAAGGGCUCUCCUCGAACUUCCAGGCUCUACGUCUUUUUACACACCCCAAUCGUAUGAUACAGAAUGAUAGUCAAUGGGCUUUCAUAGCCUAUAAAAACACUAUACAACUUUCAGCAACGGAUCUCUUGGCUCUC
This 336-nucleotide unclassified non-coding RNA is filed under the name Coprinellus sp. Its description in RNAcentral is "partial internal transcribed spacer region". The stretch from base 1 to 46 matches the Rfam family "Eukaryotic small subunit ribosomal RNA", at positions 1786 to 1831 of the family's 1831-position model. Lineage: Eukaryota; Fungi; Basidiomycota; Agaricomycetes; Agaricales; Psathyrellaceae. The record is from RNAcentral.